RNAcentral lists this ribosomal RNA (633 nucleotides) under Penicillium citrinum. Its description in RNAcentral is "eukaryotic LSU rRNA". It matches the Rfam family "Eukaryotic large subunit ribosomal RNA", at positions 1 to 649 of the family's 3401-position model. Lineage: Eukaryota; Fungi; Ascomycota; Eurotiomycetes; Eurotiales; Aspergillaceae. The record is from RNAcentral.
UGACCUCGGAUCAGGUAGGGAUACCCGCUGAACUUAAGCAUAUCAAUAAGCGGAGGAAAAGAAACCAACCGGGAUUGCCCUAGUAACGGCGAGUGAAGCGGCAAGAGCUCAAAUUUGAAAGCUGGCCCCCUCGGGGUCCGCAUUGUAAUUUGCAGAGGAUGCUUCGGGAACGGCCCCCAUCUAAGUGCCCUGGAACGGGCCGUCAUAGAGGGUGAGAAUCCCGUCUGGGAUGGGGUGGCCGCGCCCGUGUGAAGCUCCUUCGACGAGUCGAGUUGUUUGGGAAUGCAGCUCUAAUUGGGUGGUAAAUUUCAUCUAAAGCUAAAUAUUGGCCGGAGACCGAUAGCGCACAAGUAGAGUGAUCGAAAGAUGAAAAGCACUUUGAAAAGAGAGUUAAACAGCACGUGAAAUUGUUGAAAGGGAAGCGCUUGCGACCAGACUCGCCCGCGGGGUUCAGCCGGCACUCGUGCCGGUGUACUUCCCCGCGGGCGGGCCAGCGUCGGUUUGGGCGGCCGGUCAAAGGCCUCUGGAAGGUAACGCCUCUCGGGGCGUCUUAUAGCCAGGGGUGCCAUGCGGCCUGCCCGGACCGAGGAACGCGCUUCGGCUCGGACGCUGGCAUAAUGGUCGUAAGCGACC